GAUGAAGAACGUAGCGAAAUGCGAUAAGUAAUGUGAAUUGCAGAAUUCCGUGAAUCAUCGAAUCUUUGAACGCACAUUGCGCCCGCCAGUAUUCUGGCGGGCAUGCCUGUUCGAGCGUCAUUUCAACCCUCAAGCCCCCGGGCUUGGUGUUGGGGAUCGGCGAGCCUCCGCGCCCGCCGUCCCCUAAAUCUAGUGGCGGUCUCGCUGUAGCUUCCUCUGCGUAGUAGCACACCUCGCACUGGGAAACAGCGCGGCCACGCCGUUAAACCCCCAACUUCUGAACGUUUGACCUCGGAUCAGGUAGGAAUACCCGCUGAACUUAAGCAUAUCAAUAAGCGGA
This 340-nucleotide unclassified non-coding RNA is filed under the name soil metagenome. RNAcentral describes it as "partial contains 5.8S ribosomal RNA, internal transcribed spacer 2, and large subunit ribosomal RNA". The stretch from base 1 to 120 matches the Rfam family "5.8S ribosomal RNA", at positions 35 to 154 of the family's 154-position model. The record is from RNAcentral.